This 435-nucleotide ribosomal RNA is filed under the name uncultured bacterium. RNAcentral's name for it is "partial 16S ribosomal RNA". It matches the Rfam family "Bacterial small subunit ribosomal RNA", at positions 29 to 507 of the family's 1533-position model. The record is from RNAcentral.
AGCGAACGCUGGCGGCAGGCUUAACACAUGCAAGUCGAGCGGGCAUCUUCGGAUGUCAGCGGCAGACGGGUGAGUAACCCGUGGGAACGUACCCUUCGGUUCGGAACAACUCUGGGAAACUGGAGCUAAUACCGGAUACGCCCUUAUGGGGAAAGGUUUACUGCCGAAGGAUCGGCCCGCGUCUGAUUAGCUAGUUGGUGGGGUAACGGCCUACCAAGGCGACGAUCAGUAGCUGGUCUGAGAGGAUGAUCAGCCACACUGGGACUGAGACACGGCCCAGACUCCUACGGGAGGCAGCAGUGGGGAAUAUUGGACAAUGGGCGCAAGCCUGAUACAGCCAUGCCGCGUGAGUGAUGAAGGCCUUAGGGUUGUAAAGCUCUUUUGUCCGGGACGAUAAUGACGGUACCGGAAGAAUAAGCCCCGGCUAACUUCGUG